AUAAAUUUUUUUCAAAUGAAAAAAAAAAAAAAAAAUCUGUUCUUAUCAGUUUAAUAUCUGAUACGUCCCCUACCCGGGGACCAUAUAUUAAAUUGAUUUUUGGAACUGGGAGAUGGAAAAGGGGCUUGCUCCGUCCACUCCACGCAUCGACCUGGUAUUGCAGUACCUCCAGGAACGGUGCACCCCCA
This 188-nucleotide small nuclear RNA is filed under the name Gadus morhua (Atlantic cod). RNAcentral describes it as "U2 spliceosomal RNA (ENSGMOG00000026372.1)". It matches the Rfam family "U2 spliceosomal RNA". From Rfam's summary of the family: U2 is a small nuclear RNA (snRNA) component of the spliceosome (involved in pre-mRNA splicing). Complementary binding between U2 snRNA (in an area lying towards the 5' end but 3' to hairpin I) and the branchpoint sequence (BPS) of the intron results the bulging out of an unpaired adenosine, on the BPS, which initiates a nucleophilic attack at the intronic 5' splice site, thus starting the first of two transesterification reactions that mediate splicing. Lineage: Eukaryota; Metazoa; Chordata; Actinopteri; Gadiformes; Gadidae. The record is from Rfam by way of RNAcentral.